This is a long non-coding RNA of Takifugu rubripes (torafugu), 1652 nucleotides long. The record is from Ensembl. Lineage: Eukaryota; Metazoa; Chordata; Actinopteri; Tetraodontiformes; Tetraodontidae.
GUUGGAGAUGAGGUGGAGGUGAGAACUACCAGUAUAACUGAUGAUUUAAGGAUGACUCAGGUCUGGUAGUUGUAAUUUACCAGUUUUUAUGUCCAUUGUCUCACAGAUUUUCUCCAGGCUCAGUGAUAAGGAACCAUUUGGCUGGUGGCAGGCACGGAUCAAAAUGAUUAUAGGAGAGGUAAUUCAGAUGUUGCUGCAGAAUCACAAGUCCUUACUCAGAAGCUGGAGUGGAUUAUUUAAAAAAAAAAGCACAAAAAAUAAUUCAGCUUGACUGCUAAUUAAUCAUUUUCAAGGGGUUGGUAAUAAAAAAGCUUCCUUUCUUACACUUUUCCCAGUGGUACCUGAUUGAAUACAAGGAUGGAUUCCAGGAGUUCGUCAAAUCAGGGUCCAUCAGGAAUCAGAAUAAGAACACUUUCUGCACCAUAGAAAUGCUCGUGCAGAUCUUCUGGUCAGAAGAACCAACAGUCAGACUGCAGGUGAGUGCUCAGAGCGUACGCUCCACAUAGGUCUCACGAAGAACUGCACAAGCAGAUGUGAAAGUGCUGGCUUUGACAGCUGUCAACCACAUGUGAUCCAUGUCUUCCUCUGCCUGGCCAUUUAGAAGGAGCAGUGCCAUGCACAACCAGAGACCGAGGAUAAGGGCUGUCAGACUGAAGCCGAUGACGGUCACCCAACGGAAUGUGCUGGUCCCAGCGAGCAAAGGGCCCACGCGACAUUAAACAGCAGCUUGCAACACCAGAACUGUCCGAGCAGUGAGGCCCACGGCGGUCAGCCACCAGACUCCGGCGAACACACUGAAGAACUGUGGCAAUCCGACGAAGACCAGCUGGUCUGGACUCUGAAAUUUGAUCCCAAGCCUCCAAAGGCCAGCAAAUCCGCCCGUCGUCGUCGUCGCAACUGCCAGCGUCAACUGCGUGAUUACAGCAUGGAUGAUGAGUACGAUGACGAAGAAAUUAGGAUGACCCCACAGGGACUCUGCCUAUUCCGAUUGUUUGGCAGCCGAUGGGUGGCAAUGGCCUAAUCAGUUUUUCUUUUUGGAAUACAGUGAUCCCUCGUUUAUCGCGGGAGUUGCGUUCCAAAAAUAACACGCGAAAAGUGAAAUCCGUGAAGUAGUCAGCUUUAUUUUUUAUUUUUAUUUUACAAUGCAAUACUGAACUGUAGAAUGAAACCAAAAAUCAAAACCUGUUUUAAAGCCCAAAAUUUGUUUAAAACACUAAUUUUAAUAUAGUAAUACAAGGUUGGAAACAUUGUCACACACGUAUUUCCCAGUCCCAGCUGUGCCUCUUCGUCCUGACUCCGCUCCGCUGGAGCGUCUGUUUCUACUGGAGGCGCAGGAGUGUUUCUCCCAGAGAAGAACUUUGUUAUGGGUAGUUGUUGGCGCUCUUUCUUUUUCUGAGCAAGAAGAUUUUUAUAAACGGAUAUGCCACCUUCGAUUAUAUUUGAGAACUGCAACGAACGACUCGCAAAAAAAAAUCCGUGAAGCAGCGAAGCCGUGAAAGAUGAAACGCGAUAUAGCGAGGGAUCACUGUAUUUCCUUUUUAAUGAUCCAUUUUUUUUCCUGAACUUCAUGAAUAUUUGUGAUAUUUGUGAAUAAAAUCUGAAUAUACUCCGGUCUUUUGUGAUGAUUUAAGUCAAUUUGGAGAAAUUCAAAU